CAANGUAUGCUUUGGAAACUGUUAGACUUGAGUGCAGAAGGGGAGAGUGGAAUUCCAUGUGUAGCGGUGAAAUGCGUAGAUAUAUGGAGGAACACCGGUGGCGAAAGCGGCUCUCUGGUCUGUCACUGACGCUGAGGCUCGAAAGCGUGGGUAGCGAACAGGAUUAGAUACCCUGGUAGUNCACGCCGUAAACGCUGAGUGCUAGGUGUUAGGUCCUUUCCGGGACUUAGUGCCGACGCUAACGCAUUAAGCACUCCGCCUGGGGAGUACGACCGCAAGGUUGAAACUCAAAGGAAUUGACGGGGGCCCGCACAAGCGGUGGAGCAUGUGGUUUAAUUCGAAGCAACGCGAAGAACCUUACCAGGUCUUGACAUCCCGAUGCCCGCUCUAGAGAUAGAGUUUUACUUUUUGUACAUCGGAGACAGGUGGUGCAUGGUUGUCGUCAGCUCGUGUCGUGAGAUGUUGGGUUNNNNNNNNCAACGAGCGCAACCCUUAUUGUUAGUUGCCAUCAUUAAGUUGGGCACUCUAGCGAGACUGCCGGUAAUAAACCGGAGGAAGGUGGGGAUGACGUCAAAUCAUCAUGCCCCUUAUGACCUGGGCUACACACGUGCUACAAUGGUUGGUACAACGAGUCGCAAGCCGGUGACGGCAAGCUAAUCUCUGAAAGCCAAUCUCAGUUCGGAUUGUAGGCUGCAACUCGCCUACAUGAAGUCGGAAUCGCUAGUAAUCGCGGAUCAGCACGCCGCGGUGAAUACGUUCCCGGGCCUU
Molecule: ribosomal RNA, 768 nt
Filed under: uncultured bacterium
Lineage: Bacteria
Description: bacterial SSU rRNA
Rfam family: Bacterial small subunit ribosomal RNA
Source: RNAcentral